Transfer RNA from Camelus ferus (Wild Bactrian camel), 72 nucleotides. It matches the Rfam family "tRNA". Rfam says of the family: Transfer RNA (tRNA) molecules are approximately 80 nucleotides in length. The record is from Rfam. NCBI's taxonomy places the organism in Eukaryota, Metazoa, Chordata, Mammalia, Artiodactyla, Camelidae.
GGAGGUAUACCUCAGUGGUAGGGUGCGUGCUUAGCAUAUGCAAGGUCCUGGGUUCAAUCCCCAUUACCUCCA